CCUACGGGAGGCAGCAGUGGGGAAUUUUGGACAAUGGGCGCAAGCCUGAUCCAGCAAUGCCGCGUGAGUGAAGAAGGCCUUCGGGUUGUAAAGCUCUUUUGUCAGGGGAGAAACGGCUCCAGCUAAUAUCUGGGGCUAAUGACGGUACCUGAAGAAUAAGCACCGGCUAACUACGUGCCAGCAGCCGCGGUAAUACGUAGGGUGCAAGCGUUAAUCGGAAUUACUGGGCGUAAAGCGUGCGCAGGCGGUUUUGUAAGUCUGUCGUGAAAGCCCCGGGCUCAACCUGGGAAUUGCGAUGGAGACUGCAAGGCUUGAAUCUGGCAGAGGGGGGUAGAAUUCCACGUGUAGCAGUGAAAUGCGUAGAGAUGUGGAGGAACACCGAUGGCGAAGGCAGCCCCCUGGGUCAAGAUUGACGCUCAUGCACGAAAGCGUGGGGAGCAAACAGGAUUAGAUACCCUGGUAGUCCACGCCCUAAACGAUGUCUACUAGUUGUCGGGUUUUAAUAACUUGGUAACGCAGCUAACGCGUGAAGUAGACCGCCUGGGGAAGUCGGUCGCAAGNUUAAAACGUAAUGAAUUGACGGNUGAGAGNGCGAGACGACGACGAGGGAGGAGG
RNAcentral lists this ribosomal RNA (615 nucleotides) under uncultured bacterium. RNAcentral's name for it is "bacterial SSU rRNA". It matches the Rfam family "Bacterial small subunit ribosomal RNA", at positions 338 to 948 of the family's 1533-position model. The record is from RNAcentral.